UCAAAUGAUGAAUAACUAUGCGUGAACAAUCUCUGAUUGAUACAAAUAACGCUUGUAUCAAAGGAUUAAAAAACAUGUUGCCUUCCUUCUGAAU
Molecule: small nucleolar RNA, 94 nt
Filed under: Kluyveromyces lactis
Lineage: Eukaryota; Fungi; Ascomycota; Saccharomycetes; Saccharomycetales; Saccharomycetaceae
Description: Small nucleolar RNA snR52
Rfam family: Small nucleolar RNA snR52
Source: Rfam by way of RNAcentral